RNAcentral lists this ribosomal RNA (437 nucleotides) under uncultured bacterium. RNAcentral describes it as "bacterial SSU rRNA". It matches the Rfam family "Bacterial small subunit ribosomal RNA", at positions 958 to 1393 of the family's 1533-position model. The record is from RNAcentral.
AACGCGAAGAACCUUACCAAGGCUUGACAUCCCUCUGACCGGUCUAGAGAUAGGCCUUUCCCUUCGGGGACAGAGGUGACAGGUGGUGCAUGGUUGUCGUCAGCUCGUGUCGUGAGAUGUUGGGUUAAGUCCCGCAACGAGCGCAACCCUUACUAUUAGUUGCCAUCAGGUUAAGCUGGGCACUCUAAUAGGACUGCCUACGCAAGUAGUGAGGAAGGUGGGGAUGACGUCAAGUCCGCAUGGCCCUUACGCCUAGGGCCACACACGUGCUACAAUGGAUGUUACAAUGGGUUGCCAAACCGCGAGGUGGAGCCAAUCCCAUAAAGGCAUCCUCAGUUCGGAUUGGAGUCUGAAACUCGACUCCAUGAAGUUGGAAUUGCUAGUAAUCGCGCAUCAGCAUGGCGCGGUGAAUACGUUCCCGGGUCUUGUACACACGC